UACGGGGGGGGCAAGCGUUGUUCGGAAUUACUGGGCGUAAAGGGCUCGUAGGCGGCCAACUAAGUCAUACGUGAAAUCCCUCGGCUUAACCGGGGAACUGCGGCUGAUACUGGAUGGCUUGAGUUCGGGAGAGGGAUGCGGAAUUCCAGGUGUAGCGGUGAAAUGCGUAGAUAUCUGGAGGAACACCGGUGGCGAAGGCGGCAUCCUGGACCGAUACUGACGCUGAGGAGCGAAAGCCAGGGGAGCAAACGGG
RNAcentral lists this ribosomal RNA (253 nucleotides) under uncultured bacterium. RNAcentral's name for it is "partial 16S ribosomal RNA". It matches the Rfam family "Bacterial small subunit ribosomal RNA", at positions 524 to 776 of the family's 1533-position model. The record is from RNAcentral.